This 71-nucleotide transfer RNA is filed under the name Fukomys damarensis (Damara mole-rat). It matches the Rfam family "tRNA". Rfam says of the family: Transfer RNA (tRNA) molecules are approximately 80 nucleotides in length. Their secondary structure includes four short double-helical elements and three loops (D, anti-codon, and T loops). Lineage: Eukaryota; Metazoa; Chordata; Mammalia; Rodentia; Bathyergidae. The record is from Rfam by way of RNAcentral.
GUGGUGUAGCUCAGUGGUAGAAUACAUUCUUAGCAUGUAUGAAGCCCUGGGUUCAAUCCCCAGCACACACA